This 513-nucleotide ribosomal RNA is filed under the name uncultured bacterium. RNAcentral describes it as "partial 16S ribosomal RNA". It matches the Rfam family "Bacterial small subunit ribosomal RNA", at positions 28 to 523 of the family's 1533-position model. The record is from RNAcentral.
GAUGAACGCUGGCGGCGUGCCUAAUACAUGCAAGUCGAGCGAACAGACGAGGAGCUUGCUCCUCUGACGUUAGCGGCGGACGGGUGAGUAACACGUGGAUAACCUACCUAUAAGACUGGGAUAACUUCGGGAAACCGGAGCUAAUACCGGAUAAUAUAUUGAACCGCAUGGUUCAAUAGUGAAAGACGGUUUUGCUGUCACUUAUAGAUGGAUCCGCGCCGCAUUAGCUAGUUGGUAAGGUAACGGCUUACCAAGGCAACGAUGCGUAGCCGACCUGAGAGGGGGAUCGGCCCAACUGGAACUGAGACACGGUCCAGACUCCUACGGGAGGCAGCAGUAGGGAAUCUUCCGCAAUGGGCGAAAGCCUGACGGAGCAACGCCGCGUGAGUGAUGAAGGUCUUCGGAUCGUAAAACUCUGUUAUUAGGGAAGAAUAAGUGUGUAAGUAACUAUGCACGUCUUGACGGUACCUAAUCAGAAAGCCACGGCUAACUACGUGCCAGCCGCCGCCGUAA